UACAGAGGGGGCAAGCGUUGUUCGGAAUUACUGGGCGUAAAGGGCUCGUAGGCGGCCAACUAAGUCAGACGUGAAAUCCCUCGGCUAAACCGGGGAACUGCGUCUGAUACUGGAUGGCUUGAGGUUGGGAGAGGGAUGCGGAAUUCCAGGUGUAGCGGUGAAAUGCGUAGAUAUCUGGAGGAACACCGGUGGCGAAGGCGGCAUCCUGGACCAAUUCUGACGCUGAGGAGCGAAAGCCAGGGGAGCAAACGGG
Molecule: ribosomal RNA, 253 nt
Filed under: uncultured bacterium
Lineage: Bacteria
Description: partial 16S ribosomal RNA
Rfam family: Bacterial small subunit ribosomal RNA
Source: RNAcentral